RNAcentral lists this ribosomal RNA (279 nucleotides) under uncultured bacterium. Its description in RNAcentral is "partial 16S ribosomal RNA". It matches the Rfam family "Bacterial small subunit ribosomal RNA", at positions 506 to 784 of the family's 1533-position model. The record is from RNAcentral.
UGCCAGCCGCCGCGGUAAUACGGAGGGUGCAAACGUUGCUCGGAUUUACUGGGCGUAAAGCGCGUGUAGGCGGACUCGCAAGUCGGUUGUGAAAUCCCUGGGCUCAACCUAGGAACUGCAUCCGAAACUGCUUGUCUUGAGUAAUGGAGAGGGUGGCGGAAUUCCCGGUGUAGAGGUGAAAUUCGUAGAUAUCGGGAGGAACAUCAGUGGCGAAGGCAGAUGGCUGGGCCGAUUCUGACGCUCAUGCACGAAAGCGUGGGGAGCGAACGGGAUUAGAUA